AUGGGCCGGUUGGGAGGAACGAAAGGACCGACUCCGAUACUGGGGUUGCUCCUGCUGGCCUCCAGCGCUUGCUCAGCUUUGCCCAUCAACACCCCUCCCGUUGGAGAAAAUCGCUUCCAGCAACUGAUCCAGACGGUUGCUGUGACAUUUAAUCUGACUAACUGCUGGGUCUGUGGAGGGCCCCAGGGCUUAACCCAAUGGCCCUGGGUGUCCGUUCCCCUCAGUCCCGCAUGGAUUCUGAGUAAUCGGUCACAAGCCCAUAAUGGGAUGGGGUUUUGGAAAACAGAGGAGGAACACCAGUGGGCCUUAGCGGCAGUACCCAAGGGUAAAUAUUGCCUAAAUCAGACCGGAACUGGAGAAGGGAUAGGUGUUAGUCGCUGCAGCUACACCUACACGAAGAACGUCAUCCCUAAGACUAUCUACUGCUCACAGUAUGAGGGCCAGUGGAAUCAGACUCAUGUCAGAUGCUCUAAUGGGAUCUGGGUGUCAUGCCUCAAUCACCCUCCUAAUGCCCCAGAUUGGUCGGCUAAUAUCUCCUCAUGCCACUAUAAAUUGGGAGGAGGGGGCACAAUUGCCGGCAUGUGCAAAGAGAACUUGGACUUGGCCAGAUGUAAGGCAGCAAACCAAACUGGCAAUUGGACCAGGAUUCAUCAUGAAUGGAGAUGGCAAAACAACACAUGGAGAGGAGGGCUAACCCAGUUUUGGAGCCUUCAGAAUGAAACCGGGGCAGGUUGUGUAGAACGAUGUACGUGGAAGGACAAGCAAAAACUUUGGAGGUGUCAGUACGACCGUAAUUGCGGGGCGGGACCCCUGGGACUAGUGGAUCAACAAUACUAUCCCAACAUACGAGACAGUGAAAACCGAACUCGUAUAUUUAAGGAGAAACAGCCUGCCCUAAAGGGACAUUAUUGGAUUUGUGGAAACACAGCAUACACCCAUCUUUCCCUAAAUUGGACCGGGGUUUGUUAUAUAGGACUGAUUCAACCCAAAUUCUUCCUCCUACCAGAACAAGCUGGAAAGCAUUUGCCCAUUCCAUUAUAUGAAGAAAUGGGAGACUAG
Molecule: long non-coding RNA, 1059 nt
Filed under: Ornithorhynchus anatinus (platypus)
Lineage: Eukaryota; Metazoa; Chordata; Mammalia; Monotremata; Ornithorhynchidae
Description: lncRNA (ENSOANG00000040811.1)
Source: RNAcentral